RNAcentral lists this long non-coding RNA (1282 nucleotides) under Homo sapiens (human). Its description in RNAcentral is "HSALNT0063712". The record is from RNAcentral. Lineage: Eukaryota; Metazoa; Chordata; Mammalia; Primates; Hominidae.
AAUGCAAAUAAAACAGUCAAAGUUCUUCAAUCAGAUGAACCCAUAAAAUAUCCAGCAAGUUUGGGUGUCACAUGCUUAAGAUUACAGUGACACAAAGAUUGAAUAAUGAUGGAUCUCUGAGAUGUUGCUUGACAGACAGCCUCCAUGAAGAGUCAAGCAAACUGUUUCGAACUAUGACAUAAGCAAAAAAAACCAAAAAAAUAUGUUGAGAUGCAAUACUUGUUCUCAAUAAGACCUCAACAUAAAAGCCAAAACAUGGCCACCUGCAGAGGCAAGAUGUACCUCUGACUUCAUAUCUGGUUUAGAUGCCACACAUGUAUCAAGAGGAUAUGAGAAGGUUUAUCACUCACAUAAUGAGACUUUUUAGGAACCCAGGACAACUAACAAGCAGAUUCUAAAUGCAAAUGAAGGAGUCACUCAUCAAAGGCUUCUAUGGCUAAACUUCAUGACUAUAUACUAAACAGGAAUCUAACCAAGAAACUCACAGCUGCUCUUGAGAAGAUGCCCUGCUAAACCACUAAGACAAAAAUCACUUUUUAUGACCUCACCCAGUAUUUGAUAGAAAGAGAUUAGCAGCUUGCCUGUAAUCUACUCUCUUCAUUUACUGGGAGAUUCUCUGCAAAGAGAAGUGACCCAAUCAAAUUUCCUUGCCAAAUACAUUGUUGGUAUGUUGUGGUGGACGUAUCUGCAUAUAGAAUGCUUUAGCAAGAUAACCCUGGUCUCUUGAGAAUUGCUUAUGGUGAAGAAACCCGAAAUCCAUCGAUUCAUGGAGUAUGACUUUAUAAGAAAUAUCAUGUAACCUGUAACUGUUACAGUAUACAACGAAGUUUUGUGAAUAAACAGCUUACUUAUGUGCAAGUAAUGGCUGCAUACAUUUCUUACAGUCAUUGAUUGUUAAAUCUUGACCAGAAUCUGUCCUAAUGUGAGAAGAAAGGACCUAGAAAGCUUCUGGGUAAAUGAUUACAUAUAUAUACAUAAUCUUAUUCAAUUUCAUGUGCACUUGAGUUUAUUGGUAAAGUUUAAUAUAAAAUAAAUUUUCUAAUUUGUGUGAGUCUCAUUUGACAAUCCAACCAUGUGUCUUUGUUCAGGGUGUUCCCAAACAAAUUGUCUUUCAGAACUUUGAAGUACAAUGUCUAAUAAAGAAGAGGGAAUUAAAAAUAUGAUGAGAAUUUGAUGUCCUUUGUGUUAUCUCAGUUAUAUCCCUGUGACUUUGUACAAUUUAUAUAGCUGCUCACACACUAAACUCUCUGUUUCAUUAUUGGCCUCUUGGAAUAAAUUUUAC